AGCUCAUGGCCAACGUUGCAAGUUAAGCCGUGGGGGAGUGCUGCUGUCGCAGGGGACAGCGCUGGAAUCCGUAAUGAGCAGACACAUCACAAGCACAUGGCGUGGCCACAAACUUACAGACACUUGAAACUUUGUUGACAGAAGGUUUAUGCAUCUGCCUCAGAGAUCCAAUGGUUUCUGAGCUACUGCUUGAAAGAAAAUUCAUUGUUGGCAAGGAGAGAAUUCAAAGUCAGAUGACAAUUCUUCCUGUAAUUAGAAGCCUAAUAACUGGAACAAGCUUGGCAUUAUUAGCUUGACUCAACAGGCAGAUCUGAACAAAAUUAUGCCGGAAGAGUGUUCAUAAUAGACAUGAUUCGACAACUAUCGAAACUACUAAUAGCUAUUGUAAGAAUCUGAUGCUUAUUCUGGUGUUCCACAUAACCACCUUAGGGAAUGUGGAAAGCUUCAGGUGGAAAGUUCCAGCAUUAUUCAGUUCAUUUACUGAUAAAUCUGAUGGAUUUUUUAUAUUCUCCUAACACAGAGACAAAUUGACUCCUCGACAUUACCUGACCUUGUUGUCUCUUGUUUUGCAGGCAGAUCUGAACAAAAUUAUGCUGGAAAAGAGUUCAUAGUAAACAUGAUUCAACAACUAUCAAAACAAUUAAUAGCUGGUGUAAAAUCUUGAUGCUUACUCUGGCGUUCCAUGUACCCAACUUAGGGAAUGUGGAAAGUUUAAGGUGAAAAGUUUCCAGUAUUACUCAGUUCAUUUACUGAUGAAUCUGAUGGAUUCUUUAUAUUCUCCUAAUAGAAAGACAAAUGACUCCUUGACAUGAAUUGGCCUUAUGUCUCUUGUUUUGCAGGCAGAUCUGAACAUAAUUAUGCUGGAAAUAGUUCAUAGUAAACAUCAUUCAACAACAAAAUUAUCACUAGCUGGUAUGAGAAUCUGAAGCUUAUUCUGUUGUUCC
Musa acuminata subsp. malaccensis (wild Malaysian banana) is the source of this 944-nucleotide non-coding RNA. The record is from RefSeq and is a predicted model, not a curated record. NCBI's taxonomy places the organism in Eukaryota, Viridiplantae, Streptophyta, Magnoliopsida, Zingiberales, Musaceae.